This 253-nucleotide ribosomal RNA is filed under the name uncultured bacterium. Its description in RNAcentral is "partial 16S ribosomal RNA". It matches the Rfam family "Bacterial small subunit ribosomal RNA", at positions 524 to 776 of the family's 1533-position model. The record is from RNAcentral.
UACGUAGGGGGCUAGCGUUGUCCGGAAUCAUUGGGCGUAAAGCGCGUGUAGGCGGCCCGGUAAGUCCGCUGUGAAAGUCGGGGGCUCAACCCUCGGAUGCCGGUGGAUACUGUCGGGCUUGAGUACGGAAGAGGCGAGUGGGAUUCCUGGUGUAGCGGUGAAAUGCGCAGAUAUCAGGAGGAACACCAAUUGCGAAGGCAGCUCGCUGGGACGUUACUGACGCUGAGACGCGAAAGCGUGGGGAGCAAACAGG